Molecule: ribosomal RNA, 301 nt
Filed under: uncultured bacterium
Lineage: Bacteria
Description: partial 16S ribosomal RNA
Rfam family: Bacterial small subunit ribosomal RNA
Source: RNAcentral
CAGCAGCCACGGUAAUACGUAGGUGGCAAGCGUUGUCCGGAAUUAUUGGGCGUAAAGCGCGCGCAGGUGGUUUAAUAAGUCUGAUGUGAAAGCCCACGGCUCAACCGUGGAGGGUCAUUGGAAACUGUUAAGCUUGAGUGCAGGAGAGAAAAGUGGAAUUCCUAGUGUAGCGGUGAAAUGCGUAGAGAUUAGGAGGAACACCAGUGGCGAAGGCGGCUUUUUGGCCUGUAACUGACACUGAGGCGCGAAAGCGUGGGGAGCAAACAGGAUUAGAUACCCCCGUAGUCCCUGUCUCUUAUAA